This 439-nucleotide ribosomal RNA is filed under the name uncultured bacterium. RNAcentral's name for it is "partial 16S ribosomal RNA". It matches the Rfam family "Bacterial small subunit ribosomal RNA", at positions 339 to 795 of the family's 1533-position model. The record is from RNAcentral.
CUACGGGCGGCUGCAGUGAGGAAUAUUGCACAAUGGGGGGAACCCUGAUGCAGCAACGCCGCGUGGAGGAUGACGCAUUUCGGUGUGUAAACUCCUUUUAUAUGUCAAGAAAAUGACGGUACUAUAUGAAUAAGCGCCGGCUAACUCCGUGCCAGCAGCCGCGGUAAUACGGAGGGCGCAAGCGUUACUCGGAAUCACUGGGCGUAAAGAGCGUGUAGGCGGAUUGGAAAGUCAGGUGUGAAAUCCUACAGCUUAACUGUAGAACUGCACUUGAAACUUCUAAUCUAGAGUAUGGGAGGGGGAGAUGGAAUUAGUGGUGUAGGGGUAAAAUCCGUAGAUAUCACUAGGAAUACCUAAAGCGAAGGCGAUCUCCUGGAACAUUACUGACGCUAAGGCGUGAAAGCGUGGGGAGCAAACAGGAUUAGAUACCCCGGUAGUC